AUAUGUAGUUUUUAAAAUAAUUUUGUUAUAUAAAAAAGUAAAAAAAAAACAUUUUAUGAAUUAUUUUUUAAAAACUUUGUAAACUUUUUUUUAAAUAAAAAAUAAUUAUUAAACUUUUUAUUAAAAAAACAAUUUUUAAUACAUUUUUAUAAAAGCAAAUAUUAUUAUUUUUUAAUUAAAACAUAUUUUAAAUUUUUUUAAAAUGUCACAUAAGCAAUUUAUAGUCA
This 227-nucleotide long non-coding RNA is filed under the name Trifolium pratense (red clover). RNAcentral describes it as "long non-coding RNA (TPRA_LNC010822)". The record is from RNAcentral. Lineage: Eukaryota; Viridiplantae; Streptophyta; Magnoliopsida; Fabales; Fabaceae.